This is a long non-coding RNA of Felis catus (domestic cat), 2132 nucleotides long. RefSeq lists it as uncharacterized. The record is from RefSeq and is a predicted model, not a curated record. NCBI's taxonomy places the organism in Eukaryota, Metazoa, Chordata, Mammalia, Carnivora, Felidae. The transcript has 3 exons.
UCUCUGAAAGCCCCUGGCCUCUUCCUUCCAGGACCCCUCGCCUUGCCUAGCCUUUCCCGAGACCCCUCGCCUCUGAAAACCCCCCUCGCCCUGCCCCGCCCCUUCGGAGACCCUUCCCCUCUGGAAGCCCCUCGCCCCGCCCCUCUCAGGCCCUCCCACCGGCUAGCGUCUGGCUCCCUGCUCCGGGGACGGUGGACCGGGAGAGAGCACGAUUCUCUGAACGGGGUGGGCCUGGAGUUCGUGUCACAGCGAGUAGCAUGUUUAAAUGUAAUGUAUGUUCAGUGUGCAAACCGCGGGCCGGGUGUCCUGCCAGCCCUCGGUCUGAGGGAGUGUGUGCCGGAAAGGCACCUGCGCACCCAAGGCAAAGCCCCUCUCCCCGCUUGCAGGUCCCACUGAUCACAAAAACAGCUCUUCCUUCACCAACCCCACGCUCCAGCCCGCUGGGACUCUCCAGGAACAUCUGGCGGAGGUGGAGCCCUGUUUACACUCACAAUGAGAGCGUUUUUUCCAGGUCCUCAGCCUGUCUCCUUCCCUGGGCCCCCGUGAGGGCUCUGAGCUGCCACGACCUCCCCCCUGCCUGGGCCCAUCCCUCACCCAGGAGCAGACAACGCCCUGGAACAGGGGCCAGAGGCCAGGCCCUCCAGCUCGUCCCACCCACCUCUGCCUGCCCCUCCCUCCCACCUGCCCACCCCCCCCCCCCACCCCCAGGAUCCCAAAUCACCCUUCUUCUGGCGGUGGAAAGUCCUUCCUUCCUGGUGGCUGUCAGGCCCACAGGUGCACAGCCUGUUGGGCUGUGCCCUCCUUUGGCCCUCAUUUCCUGUGGCUGCCUCCACCUGACCCAACCACCCUAGGCCUGGGGCUUCAGGGGUCCCUGCAGGGGGCUGGGGGCUUCAGCCCAGAGCCCAGAGUAAACCAAACCAGGGUCUGUAUGAGGUGAUGGCAAGACAGAACUGAACUCUAGGAGCAGAGUGGGUCCAGGGCUGACCUGGAGAUGGGACGUCCAGGAUAGGUCCCUGCAAGGUCAGCGCCACCUGACACCGCUAUUGUGACAGCCCCUGGGGCUGCAGACAUCCUCAGCAAAGGUCUCAUUUGGGGGCUCGGAGCAGACAAGAGGAUACAGGCCAGGUGAAGCUCACUGCAAAAGACUCCAGAACCCAGUCCCUAAUCUGUGGAGUCCUGGCCUCAACCCAGGGAGACCCAUGAAUUAGAAUCCCACCCCUUGGCCACCCUGUGGGGGUCAGGAGCACACAUCAUUGGGAGAUGCGUGCCAGCUGGGCGCAGCCUGCCCCCCGCCCCAACUGGUCCAUGCCACGUGUGUGGUCCUUGUGGGAACCACUGUUUAUUUGACUUUCUUUCCCCUACCUUUUAAAUAAAAUGCAGUGGAGCAGAGAGCAGAAGCCACCUCCUAUGUCCUUAUAAAACACAUGUGUGUGCUGUGGGCGGGCGGCUCCCCAGCCAGGCCACCGGCCCAGCAUACUGCACCCACCUUCUGUCCCGAUAGACCUCAGGGCCAGCUUUGGAAACCCCCAGACGCAUGCACAAGCAGGGGCUGAGCCUGCCAGACAGCAGCCACCCAACCAGGAAGGGCCGGGGGUGCCCCUCCUGCAUCAUCGCAUUGUGCAGAGCUAAAGGACAGACAGCCUGGGACCCGGAGCAAAUGGGGCCCACUGUCCCAGGAUCCUGGGCGGGGCUUCUCCAGGGGCUGGGAGCACAGAGCCCCACCCUGGAGCUGGCUUCAAGGAACAAUCCAGCGUCCCUUUGGAGAGACUUGGUAAGGAGAAGGUCUGCACUCCAGGCCCUAUCUCUGGGCCUUGCAGUGUGGGUGAUGGAGGUGUGUGAGGACCUGUGUGAGGGUCCCCGGCUGCUGCAGGGCUGGUAUGAGGCCCCCCUCAGAGUGGGGCUGCCCCCAUCUGAAUCUCAGCACCUGGACAUUGCCUCUGAAUUACAGCCAAUGUGUUUCAUAAUGUCCCAUGCUUUUCCUGUGGAGCUAAUUUCCACUGCCUCUCCACACCCUCCACACAGACACCUUCCACCGCUCCUGUGUGAGAAGGCCAUGCCCAGGCCCAGGAGAAAUGCCACCACCAGCAAGCCAGGGUGGCACCUGAACUAGCCAGAUGCCCAUGAGACUGCCC